Molecule: transfer RNA, 74 nt
Filed under: Cedrus deodara (deodar cedar)
Lineage: Eukaryota; Viridiplantae; Streptophyta; Pinopsida; Pinales; Pinaceae
Also listed under: 34 other names
Description: tRNA-Asp
Rfam family: tRNA
About the family: Transfer RNA (tRNA) molecules are approximately 80 nucleotides in length.
Source: RNAcentral
GGGGAAAUAGCUCAGUCGGUUAGAGUGCUGGUCUGUCACGCCAGAAGUCGCGGGUUCGAACCCCGUUUUCCCCG